CAUUAUGAGAGUUUGAUCCUGGCUCAGGACGAACGCUGGCGGCGUGCCUAAUACAUGCAAGUCGAACGCUUUUUCUUUCACCGGAGCUUGCUCCACCGAAAGAAAAAGAGUGGCGAACGGGUGAGUAACACGUGGGUAACCUGCCCAUCAGAAGGGGAUAACACUUGGAAACAGGUGCUAAUACCGUAUAACACUAUUUUCCGCAUGGAAGAAAGUUGAAAGGCGCUUUUGCGUCACUGAUGGAUGG
This 247-nucleotide ribosomal RNA is filed under the name Enterococcus faecium. RNAcentral's name for it is "partial 16S ribosomal RNA". It matches the Rfam family "Bacterial small subunit ribosomal RNA", at positions 1 to 228 of the family's 1533-position model. Lineage: Bacteria; Bacillati; Bacillota; Bacilli; Lactobacillales; Enterococcaceae. The record is from RNAcentral.